Molecule: ribosomal RNA, 253 nt
Filed under: uncultured bacterium
Lineage: Bacteria
Description: partial 16S ribosomal RNA
Rfam family: Bacterial small subunit ribosomal RNA
Source: RNAcentral
UACGUAGGGGGCAAGCGUUGUCCGGAUUUAUUGGGCGUAAAGAGCGUGUAGGCGGCCUGACAGGUCUGCUGUGAAAACUCGAGGCUCAACCUCGAGAUGUCGGCGGAAACCGUCUGGCUAGAGUCCGGAAGAGGAGAGUGGAAUUCCUGGUGUAGCGGUGAAAUGCGCAGAUAUCAGGAAGAACACCUAUGGCGAAGGCAGCUCUCUGGGACGGUACUGACGCUGAGACGCGAAAGCGUGGGGAGCAAACGGG